This 234-nucleotide ribosomal RNA is filed under the name uncultured bacterium. RNAcentral describes it as "partial 16S ribosomal RNA". It matches the Rfam family "Bacterial small subunit ribosomal RNA", at positions 96 to 334 of the family's 1533-position model. The record is from RNAcentral.
CGGCGAACGGGUGAGUAAUGCUUGGGAAUCUGCCCAUUAGUGGGGAACAACCAGCCGAAAGGUUGGCUAAUACCGCAUACGCCCUACGGGGAAAGCGGGGGAUCGUAAGACCUCGCGCUAAUGGAUGAGCCCAAGUCGGAUUAGCUUGUUGGUAGGGUAACGGCCUACCAAGGCGACAAUCCGUAGCUGGUCUGAGAGGACGACCAGCCACACUGGGACUGAGACACGGCCCAG